GCGAGUCUGAAUAGGGCGCAUAAGUAACAGGUCGUAGACCCGAAACCAGGUGAUCUACCCAUGUCCAGGAUGAAGGUAAGGUAAUACUUACUGGAGGUCCGAACCCACGCACGUUGAAAAGUGCGGGGAUGAGGUGUGGGUAGCGGAGAAAUUCCAAUCGAACUUGGAGAUAGCUGGUUCUCUCCGAAAUAGCUUUAGGGCUAGCCUCGAGGUAAAGAGUCAUGGAGGUAGAGCACUGUUUGGACUAGGGGCCCUUCUCGGGUUACCGAAUUCAGAUAAACUCCGAAUGCCAUGUACUUAUACUCGGGAGUCAGACUGCGAGUGAUAAGAUCCGUAGUCGAAAGGGAAACAGCCCAGACCACCAGUUAAGGUCCCCAAAUAUAUGUUAAGUGGAAAAGGAUGUGGGGUUGCUUAGACAACCAGGAUGUUGGCUUAGAAGCAGCCACCAUUGAAAGAGUGCGUAAUAGCUCACUGGUCGAGUGACCCCGCGCCGAAAAUGUACCGGGGCUAAACAUAUUACCGAAACUGUGGAUGAACCUCUUUAGAGGUUCGUGGUAGGAGAGCGUUCUAAGGGCGGUGAAGUCAGACCGGAAGGACUGGUGGAGCGCUUAGAAGUGAGAAUGCCGGUAUGAGUAGCGAAAGAAGGGUGAGAAUCCCUUCCACCGAAUAUCUAAGGUUUCCUGAGGAAGGCUCGUCCGCUCAGGGUUAGUCGGGACCUAAGCCGAGGCCGAUAGGCGUAGGCGAUGGACAACAGGUAGAGAUUCCUGUACCAGUGCUAAUUGUUUAACCGAUGGGGUGACACAGAAGGAUAGGGAAUCGCACGAAUGGAAAUGUGCGUCCAAGCAGUGAGUGUGAGAAGUAGGCAAAUCCGCUUCUCGCGAAGCAUGAGCUGUGAUGGGGAAGGAAAUUAAGUACGGAAGUUCCUGAUUUCACGCUGUCAAGAAAAGCCUCUAGGAAGAGUAGUACUGCCCGUACCGCAAACCGACACAGGUAGAUGAGGAGAGAAUCCUAAGGUGAGCGAGAGAACUCUCGUUAAGGAACUCGGCAAAAUGACCCCGUAACUUCGGGAGAAGGGGUGCUCUAUUAGGGUGCAAGCCCGAGAGAGCCGCAGUGAAUAGGCCCAGGCGACUGUUUAGCAAAAACACAGGUCUCUGCAAAACCGUAAGGUGACGUAUAGGGGCUGACGCCUGCCCGGUGCUGGAAGGUUAAGAGGAGUGCUUAGCUUCGGCGAAGGUACGAAUUGAAGCCCCAGUAAACGGCGGCCGUAACUAUAACGGUCCUAAGGUAGCGAAAUUCCUUGUCGGGUAAGUUCCGACCCGCACGAAAGGCGCAACGAUCUGGGCACUGUCUCAACGAGAGACUCGGUGAAAUUAUAGUACCUGUGAAGAUGCAGGUUACCCGCGACAGGACGGAAAGACCCCGUGGAGCUUUACUGCAACCUGAUAUGGAAUGUUUGUACCGCU
Molecule: ribosomal RNA, 1463 nt
Filed under: Listeria monocytogenes
Lineage: Bacteria; Bacillati; Bacillota; Bacilli; Caryophanales; Listeriaceae
Description: partial 23S ribosomal RNA
Rfam family: Bacterial large subunit ribosomal RNA
Source: RNAcentral